This 1299-nucleotide long non-coding RNA is filed under the name Zonotrichia albicollis (white-throated sparrow). RNAcentral's name for it is "lncRNA (ENSZALG00000003150.1)". The record is from RNAcentral. Lineage: Eukaryota; Metazoa; Chordata; Aves; Passeriformes; Passerellidae.
AUGGAUGGAAGGGGUUUCUCCAGACUCCAUGGAGCAGGGAAAGGACAGCUGGGAGCUCAGCAUGAAUUCAUGGGAUCAUGGAAUAUUGGGGUUGGAAAAGCACUCCAAGGUCGUGGAGUCCAACCAUUCCCAGCACUGAUCCGUGUCCCCAAGGGCUGCAUCCACAGGGAUGUUCAAUCCCUCUGGGAAUGGGGACGGGGCUGGAAAACCCUUUAUGUGAGGGAGUUUUCCCAAUAUCCAAACUUCUCCUUUCAUUAUCCAAAUCCAUGGGUGAAAGGACUGGAAGAGAUUCCAGAGGCUCCAAAGCCCCUCAGCCAUUGGAUCCUGCACAAAUCCCAGAAUCCCAGAACAGUUUGGGUGGGAAGAUCUCCCAGGGGAUCCAUUCCCAAUCCCUGCCAUCGCCCAGGAUCCCUUUCCCUAUCUCCGGUUGCUCCAAGCUCAUCCAACCCAGCCUGGAGCUGGAGCACUUGGAAUUUCCCUCACAAAUUUUGGAUUUCCUUCCCAAACUUCGGAACCACCAUUUUCCAAGGUUCUCCUCCACGGAACAAACCCCAAAUUCUGGGAUCACACAACUCCCUGCAAAUCCCCAAUCCCACAGGCUGGGAUCUUUCCGUGCGGAAUUUCCAAAGCUUUAACGGAGCCUCCUGGGAAGAUUCCCACCGGGAUGGGAACCUUUUCCAUUCCCAAGGAAGCUCCGUGUCCGGAUGCCACCCCGGUGUCCUUCCCUGCUCCGUUCUGGCUCCGUGCCGGAGCGUGCGGAAUAACUGGGUCAGCUCGGCACAGCCGCUGAAUAUUUCAUGGAUUUUCCUUCCCGACUUUCCCAGUGCCGAGCUCCCGGCUCCGUUUAUUGGGAACAAAGGAACGUGCUGGGAAUUCUGCCCUCGGCAGCUCCAGGAACUCGGAGCGGGGCCAGGAACGGCUCCAGAGCUGUCGCUCCCAAGGUUUCUUGGGAUUCAUUCCCUCCCUCGAGCUGCAGGGGAGGAAUUUGGGAAGGAAAAAUUCACAAAGAUGAGACAGAGAAGGAAAAGGAAACGGGGGAAUGUCGGUGAUUCCUUAGUUCUGCCUCCCAGUGAAUUCCUGGGAUGCAAUUCCUGGUUUUAUCUUUGUUAUAUGAAAUGUUCCGGCCCCUACUGCUUAUCCAAAGGAUCAGCUUAUCCUGCUUUUCCCGAGUUUCUGAUUUGCAUUGCCAGAACUUUAUUCACACCCCGGCCGCAACAGAAAUUCCCACAGAAACCGUGGAAUUCCAGGUGGAUGGAAUUUUUAACAGCAAAAAUUGAAAUUCCACCUCUUUUAUUCUGA